UAUUUAACAAAUUUAAAAAAAAAAUUAAAAAGAAACAAAAAAAAAAAUAAUAAAGUGCUGGAAUUGCUGGAGUACAGGUGGCGUGGAAGAAGAAGAAAAGAAUAGGGGAGGAGAGAAGAGAAGAAAAAAAUUAAAAAGAAAAAAAAAUGUUAUUUUCUCAUGUACGAGAAAAAAGAAAAGAAAAACGUAGGUCAUAUUCUUAUAGACUCCGAAACUGAAACCUGCCAAUUGCAAUUAGCUAUGGCCUCUAGCUAGGAAAAUGCAUCCCAAACCUCAAUGCGCUGUACAAUAGAGAAAUGGGAAAAUCCUAGCAUAAGUUUUGUGGGUUGUCUUCGUCAUGGCAAGAACCCACCACCAAGAUUAUGACUGUGAUAGUUAUUGUUAUUACUAACAUCACAAUUAUCUACCCUGGACUUGGAAUCUGCCUCCGCCGCACCUUCGCCGCUCGAGGAGGAGAUAGAAGGAGGAAACCGGCCGCAUUUCUGACACCUUGCCACCCCCAGUAUCUGACGGCAGGAAGGACACGAGGAUUGGGAGCCUAGCCACGGGUCGAUACACCCAACAUGGAACCCGUGCCCACACUGUGGCAAAAUCCUGAUCUCAUCUUUCUCACCAAACUCACCUAAGCAGAUUGCGCACUCCGUCGAUGCAAACUUACAAGAACCUGAGGCCGACACAUCGCCGUACGUGAACUUGGGGAGAGACUGGAGGAUCUUCUUCUUCAACCCCUUAUUGACCUUGGCUUGAGACGGAGAACGAGAAGCACUGCUCUCGCUGCGGCGGAGCCAAGCACAACGAACCACAGCAAUGAGUCCCACAACGCAUAUCAAUGCGCAUAGAAGAGCUGCCAGUAUGACGACGAAGUCUGACUCGACGUUGACGGCCUCAGGUGGGUCGGCGGCAGGGGGAGAGUCAGAGCCCUUAAGCAUUCUUGAAAAGCGAGUCAUGGGUAAUGGUUAUGUAGCGUAAAGUGGGAGAAUUAACAAAGAAAGAGAGAGAAGCAAAGAGAAGAGAAAGUGGGUAUUUGGAAUUGGAGAGGUUCUUGAAGUGGGCAUAAAUAUAUAUAGAAAUGAAGAUUUAUGGAAAGGUGGUAAGCAGUUCCAGAAUAGUUGAUGGUGUAAUAAGUGUUAAUAGGAAUUGAAAGAGAAGAUGAUGAUGGUGAAAGCGAACGCUUUGAUGAAGAAGAACUUCUUCUGGUCUCAACCAUGUUUGAUCUUCUUUACUUCUUCUUCUACAGAUCCAAAGAAUUAGAGAAGAAUGAAGCAAAAAAAAACGAUUUGGGUUUGUGUGUGAGAGAAAAA
RNAcentral lists this unclassified non-coding RNA (1301 nucleotides) under Hevea brasiliensis (rubber tree). The record is from RNAcentral. Lineage: Eukaryota; Viridiplantae; Streptophyta; Magnoliopsida; Malpighiales; Euphorbiaceae.